Molecule: long non-coding RNA, 1741 nt
Organism: Clupea harengus (Atlantic herring)
Lineage: Eukaryota; Metazoa; Chordata; Actinopteri; Clupeiformes; Clupeidae
Source: Ensembl
CUAGUUUCGGUGCCUUGUUUUGUACUUAGUUCCGUGCUUAGUUUCUGUGCCUAGUUUGGGGCCUAGCAUGUGCCUAGGGGGCAUAGUUUCUUGAGUUACUAGCCACCAUCUCCUGCACCCUUAUUCCCAACUACACCACCCAGUCCAGUCGCCAUAUCCCAAAAGCUUGGGGUGACCGCCUCGGUCCCUCACACCUGGUGAAUAAAAGGGUACACAGCGAUAUUGCCUGUAGAGCACCACAUGUGCUUACUGAGGUAAGACGCCUGGUUCCUGCUCCAUUGGCCCAAAGAUGACCACACUUGAAGAGAACCAGCUGCAGCCGGAGGGGUCACGGCCAAAGAGCCAUAGCCAAAGAGAGGUUGAGAUGUGUUUGCCAACGACGCCCGCGGCAAGCUGAUCACCUGCUGCAGAGGCGAGAAGUAGAGCCUGUGCACCUAACGCUGCCGACUUAUGCUUAUACGCUCGAUGGGGCUACCCCAAUUUGAUGACAGCAAACAAGAGAAACUUGCACUUCAAGUUUUCGUUCAGGAUUUGCAGCCAGAGCAAUUCAGGGAGCACAUUCGCCUCAGUGCACCUGGGUCCCUGGCAGCAGCCUUGGACAAGCUCGAGACAUUGUGUGCACCAGGCCGACCUGGAAAAGAGUGAGGAGGUUGAAGGGAGCGAGGAGGAAGAAGAGGCAACUUGUCAGGCGGGGACCCCUGAGGGCGGAAGGGCAGUCCGAGGGGUUCUACCAAUGUGGGGAACCAGGGCACAUUGUCCGUCAUUGCUCAGCACCAGCAAUUUACAACCCAGAACCUUAGACACAACUGUGGCUCAGUUAGCAGGGCUGACCCCAUGGGCUUUAUGUUGACUGCAACAUAGAACGCAUCCUAAGCCCUGCACCAUCCGGGACCAGUGCAUCUAGGACCGGUGCAUCAUUGGGCUGGAUCUGCUGGCUAUGCGGGGUGGCUACGGUGGAUGUGUGCAGAGCUAAACUACUUUCUGACCGUAUUGCUGCUGGCUGCUCCAGAGAAGCCUCCAGUCCAGAGUCGCAGAGUGCGUCGCAAGCUGAGGAGAGCUGCUCCCGCCAUGCCUUCACCUCCAGAGGGUCCUCGUGCUCCCACCUCCAGCUAAGACAGAGGCCUCCACCUCAAUGCCGUCUGCCCCGGAGAAAUCUCUGUGUCACUGCCACCGUUACCACCACUCUGUGAGGAGGAAGAGAGCCAGCAUUGUCAGCUGAGACGCAGCGGCUCCAGUGGUGGCUGCUCUGCGGGCUGCCACUCCGAGCGAGGAUGACACCUCCGGAGCAGCAGCAGCGACAGCAGCACCCCGGGUGGUCCAUGGCUUGAUGAAGGCAGGCCACUUCGGAAUCGCCAUCAUGCCCCAGCACUUGAAAGACUGCCUGGGUCAUUUGCAACAAUUGACUGGCCUGGUGGGGGCUAAGUAGCGUGCAGGAUGUAUUACGGCUUCUGUGUGUGUGUGUGUGUGUGUGUGUGUUAUCUGUGUGUGAGAUAGUUUGUUCCAUAAUGCUGUGCAUCUGUGCCUGUUAGGAUGGUUAAUGUUUAAUUCUGUGUUUAACGUUCCAUUUUCCAAUGUACCUGUGUUUUUUAGCCUGUGUUAAUGUCGGCAUGUAUUUCUGUUAUCCUUUUUAAGUCCGCAUAAUUGAGUGUAUGUGAUUCUCUGUUGUUAGCAUAUUCACCCACCCCUAUCUAAUGUGUUGUGUAUAAGACUACCUUCUGUAUCAGUCUGACUGAAUGUUGCG